GAAAACGCAGACCAUAAUUGCAGUACUCACAGGAAGCAGCUGUUUGCGUUUCCUGCCGGGACGUCCCACGCGGCGUUUAUUAGGAGGGCUGGCUGGGGUCCCCUCCUCCGGGCUGUCCUGGUCUACCCCGUCCUCACUCUGGGAAAAUGCAAGACAAGCCAAGAUAUUUACAACACAAUUUAAAUGGUGUUUUGAUUUAAAAUUAGGCACAGAGCAAUUAUAGAUUCAAUGUAAUUUAAAACAUGAGAAAAGGAACUAAAGUAACACCAGAACCUUGUGCCAUCAUCUCUUCUCUAAUGCCAGUCUAAUGUUCUCCUGCUGGACCCGGUGCCGCCGUGACACACAAGUGGUUGCUAAGGUGCAAAAACUGCUUAGCAACUGUCUCCGCUGCCCGACUGGUGCUGCUGCCGAAAAACAUGGAAGAUGACAAAUCCCUGAAGACCAACUUGCACACGUGUACAAGUCGCAGAGGACACGGCAGUUGCUAAGAGACCAGACUGCAGACCGGGCGUUGAGCAGCAGCAGCAGCAGCCUCCCUGGAGCCGCAGACACCGUGUCCUCUUUAUUUGUGCUACAUCCUCCCGCUCUGUGCCACCGCUACUACUCCUGUUCGCCCUCUGCUUUGUCUCACCAU
Long non-coding RNA from Boleophthalmus pectinirostris (great blue-spotted mudskipper), 634 nucleotides. RefSeq lists it as uncharacterized. Lineage: Eukaryota; Metazoa; Chordata; Actinopteri; Gobiiformes; Gobiidae. The record is from RefSeq and is a predicted model, not a curated record. The transcript is spliced from 3 exons.